Molecule: long non-coding RNA, 4624 nt
Filed under: Homo sapiens (human)
Lineage: Eukaryota; Metazoa; Chordata; Mammalia; Primates; Hominidae
Description: HSALNT0087835
Source: RNAcentral
GUUUCCUGUGCUAUUCUUGUGAUUGACAGUGAAUGAGUCUCACAAGAUCUGACGGUUUUUAAAAACGGGAGUUUCCCUGCACAAAUUUGCUUGCUGGCAACCAUGUGAGAUGGGACUUUCUCCUCCUUGACUUUCGCCAUGAUUGUGAGGCCUUCCCAGCCAUGUGGAACUCUUCUUUCGUGGCAAUUUUCCCCCAGGAGGGAUUUCCCUGCAGUGGACCUCCUCCCCAGUGGUACCUUCAGCCAUCAGAACACCUCGCUUUAGAUCUGUGGGUCCCAAAUUUCAUCAAAUCCAAUGACCAUUUCUAUGAUCACUCAUUCUGGGGGCAGCCCUCUGGCAUGUAAUGAGCAGUCCUAUGGAGAGGCCCAUGUGACAGUAGCCAUGCGAGUGACACUGGAAGUGAAACCUGCAGCUCCAGUCAAGCCUUUAGAAGACUGCAGCCCUGGCUGACAGCUUGACAGCAAACUCAUGAGAGACUCUCAGCUUGAACAACUCAGCUAAACUGUUCCUGGGUUCCUGGUCCUCAAAAACUCUGGAAUUCUGUGAAGCACAUGACCUCAAGUCUUUGGAUAAAUGGAAACGCAGCUUAUGCCGGAAAGAUGGAAGGCUGGCUGUACUAAUAUCAGAAAUGGAAGAGGAGAGACAUCACUAGAGAUCCCAUGGAUAUUGAAAGGAUAAUAAAGGAGUAUUAUGAGCAUUGUUAUAUUUUAUGUCUCCUAUAAGCUGUAAAUUCCUACAUAGCAAGAAUUCUGUCUUACUCAUCCUUUAACAACUACUGUGUACCUUAUAAUGUUUCAUAAAAUAUUAUGAUUUGGUUUUAUUAUUCACAAAAGAAUGCUAUAAGAGGUGAAAAAUGGAGAGGCUAGAAAGCAUAAAAACAAGUUACAUCAGGUGGUAGAGCCUGGUUUAAGGGUCAAAGAUAAAAGAAGGGAAGGUUAAGGGCAGGGCUUUAGAGGGAGAGAGGAUAAACACAGUUUGAUUAAAUGGCUGAUUCAGCCGGGUGUGGCGGCUCAUGCGUAUAAUCCCAACACUUUGAAAGGCUGAGGCAGGAGGAUUGCUUGAGCCUAGGAGUUCAAGACCAGCCUGGGCAACAUGGAGAAAUCCUAUCUCUACCAAAAUACAAAUACAAAAACAAAAAUUAGCCAGGUGUGGUUAUAUACACCUGUAGUCCCAGCUGCUUGGGAGGCAGAGGUGGGAGGAUUGGUUAGGUCUAGGAAGUUGAGGCUGCAGUGACCUAUGAUUGCUCCACUGCACUCUAGCCUUGGUGACACAGAGAGAUCCUGUCUCAAAACAAAAACAAACAACAACAACAAAAAACAUAUAUAUAUAUAUAUGAGGUUUAUCCACAGUAAAGUUCAGUCUAGGGUUAAUAAAAGAUUCUAGGGUUCACUAAGACAAAGAGUAGUCGCAGUAGCAGAGCCUUGGGUGAAGCUAAGGUCCCCAGGAGAUCUGGGAUGUCUGUGAGGAACAGUGAGGCUUAGUCAUUCAGACAAGCCAGCAGAAGUGAAGUUUAGAGAAUGUGGAUGGGCCUCAGGCUCUAGACAUCAAAACAAACAGAUAGAAAAGGCAGAGUGUAGAAUCCAGACAGUGAGGCUCACAACAAGGUAUGCAAUUCUGCAUAAGCAGAUUUGAGGGGACACCAACUAUGGACUGAUGUAGAUAAAUAUUUCUGGUAAUUCCAGUUAGUGAUUCACUCUGAACUCACAUAGGAUAGUAUCUCUUCAAAGGCACUUGUGUUGUAAUUAAAUGCACACAUAAGACAUAAUGCUUAUUGAGCCCUUAGCAUGUACCACCCACUCUUAUGCAUACUAUAUGUUUAAACCAUUUAAACUCACACCAACCCCCUGGGGGUAGGUAGUAUUAUUAUCCCUGUUACAGAUAAGGAAAGUGAGAAGUAGGAGUUAAUUGGUCUCAUGAUCCCCUACAGGCUGGCCUUCCAGAAAAAGGAGGUAACUUGCCCCAGGAUACCCUGGAAACCAAUCAGAAUGAAUUGCCUUAAACUCUGGCUUGUAGCCCAAAGCAAGGCUUGCCCACAAGUCUUGCCAGUAUGUGGUUGAACAGAAAUUAGAAUCCAGACAGCCUGAGUCCUUUUCUUGCCAGGCAGGGGCUGGGGCUUCCCCAACCAUGAAAGUUCAGGUGGUAGAUCCUGCCACUGCUUUGCACACCAGCUCCCUGGUGCUAACCUCAACUGCCAGUGCUGAGCUGGAAGGAUAGGGCUGGAGGCAAACUCCUACCCCAUCAUGUUGCUGGUGUAUUCCAUCCUGGUAUUGGUCACACCAAGGAAGGGCCUGGACUUUCCUAAUCAUGCAGCUUAAAAGCAACACAAGGCAAGGCGGGGAGUCCGCUCUCCUGAAGUCUGACAUCCAGGAAGACCAGAUUGCUAUGUGCUGUCUUUGACUUACUUGGAGACUCACACACCUACACUAGUGCCCCCUUAUCUGAGGGGGAUGCAUUCCAAGACCCCCAGUGGAUGCUUGAAACCAUAAAUAAUACCAAACCCUACAUAUACUAUGUUUUUUCAUAUAUAUACCUAUGAUAAAAUUUAAUUUAUAUAAUAGAUUAGGCAGAGACUAAUAACAAUAACUAAUAAUAAAAUAGAAGAAUUAUAACAACAUACUAUAAUAAAAGUUAACGUGAACAUUGUUUGUCUCAAAAUAUCUUAUUGUAUGUAAUAUUUUUGGACUGUGGUUGUUCAUAGCAAGUGAAAACUCAGAUGGGGGAGGGUGGCAUACUGUAUUUAUUUUCCUGUAUCCAUUAGUGUUUCCCAGUGAACACUGCACCAGGAGGUUGGCCAUUUGUCUUUAUUUAUACAUCAAACUAAGGCAUGGAGAAUAAGAGCUUGGUAAGGUCAUAUAGCCAGGAGGUGGUUGAACUGAGAUUCAAACUGAGACAGUCUGAGUCCAAAUUCUACCACCUCUUGUGUGUGACAUUUAAUGGAUAGGUGGGCUUUUGUAACCAGUGUCUCUGCCUUUCUCCAUGAUUCACAGCACAGAAACUUGUGCAUACAUUCUCACUUGAUAUCUGAAUGACUGUAACAGUGAUGUAAAUUAACAAGGAAGGGAGAUAGCCCUGAUUUAAUUGGAAAUCACUGACAGAGCUCGCCCAGUAAACUCUCUACAAACAGAAUACAAAUGUUUUGUAUUUAAUUGCUAAAGUGUUUUAAAAUUGAACUCAAAUUAAUAAAUACUUAUUGUAUCUGUCAGUUAAACGAAACAACCAAUAAACAACCAACUCUGUUUUCUAAUCAAGAGGGACUGAUCCUUUAAAAAAAAUAGGGUUUAAAAAAGAUGAUAUGAUCAAUGUAAAAUUGGAUUAUAGACUUUUAGAGUCUUAAAAGAUGAGAAAAGAGAUAAAGAUGAAUAGAUAUGGAGUAACUAGGAUAAGACUCUCUCACAAACUGGACCUUAAACAGAUUUAGGAAGAAAUAUAGGAUUAGGAUAGAGAAAAAGAAGAGAAAGAAUUGCCUAUAGGCAUAAUAAAAAGCACAAGUGUAUCAAUCAACACAGGGUAUUGUGGACCAGUGAGGAAGGAUCAUGAUCUAGACUAGGGGAUUCAUGUUGGAAACAGUGAGACAAGUUAGAAAGGAUAGGAUGGGACAUAUUAUAUGGUUCCAAACAUAAUAAAUGAGCACUUGAGCUAGAAAGUAGUAUAAUGUUCACAGGUGGUAAAGAGGUAUAAUGAAAAAACUAUACUUCACAAAAAUUAGUGGUGUUCAGUGGGUUGGAGAGAAGACCAAUUAGAAGGUUAUCUGUGGAAUUACAACAACCCAGUGAAUUGAGCUGAUGGAGAGAGAUGCUCCUCCCACUACCAACACUCAAACAUAAGGCAAAAAUAUUUAUAGGUGAUGAGUAAUGAUGAAAAAACAAAAGAACAAAUGAUAGAUGACAUGAAGAAUGGGAGUAGGGAAGACCAUAUUUAAGACUCUGAGGUCAUUAAAUGAUGUAACAUGUUUACUAGCCCAAAAAUAUAUACUAAAAGAGUAGAAAGAAAACAAAAAAUUUCCAAAUCAGUAGCAAGGAUCAAGAAAACAAUCCAAAUGGAAGGAAAGAACAAUGUCCCUUGGAACAUAACAAUAGAACAUAAUAUGAACAGUACCUCCUUCUAUGUAGUGUAGAUAUUAAACAUAGGGUGGGAAGUACACAUAUCAAUUUCAAAAUAGUGGUUUAAUCUGAAAUUGUUAAACAGAGAGGGAGGGAAGCAAUAGAACUGAGAGAGCGUUCAAAAGCCUUUUGUUGUAUCUGUAGAGUCUUUUAUUUCUUAAAAAUACAAUCGUAUACCACAUGAUAACAUUUUGGCCAAUGGACUACACAUAUGACAUGGUCCCAUAAGAUUAUAGUACUGUCUUUUUACUGUACCUUUUCUAUGUUUAGAUAUAUUUACAUAUACAAAUACCACUGUUAAAUUGCCUACAGUAUUCAGCACAGUAACAUGCUGUGCAGGAUUGUAGCCUAGGAGCAAUGGGCUACACCAUGUGGCCUAGGUGUGUCGUAGGCUCUACUAUUUUGGUUUGUAUAAGUACACUCUAUGAUGUUCACACAAUGAUGAAAUCACCUAACGAUGCAUUUCUCAGAAUAAGUUUCUGUUGUUAAGCAACCCAUGAUUGUAUCUGAAGCAAAUAUCUAUA